CGGGUGGCGGAAUGGUAGACGCAGCGGACUUAAAAUCCGCCGCCCUUAAAAGCGUGAGAGUUCGAGUCUCUCCCCGGGCACCA
RNAcentral lists this transfer RNA (83 nucleotides) under Sutterella sp. Its description in RNAcentral is "tRNA-Leu". It matches the Rfam family "tRNA". From Rfam's summary of the family: Transfer RNA (tRNA) molecules are approximately 80 nucleotides in length. The record is from RNAcentral. Lineage: Bacteria; Pseudomonadati; Pseudomonadota; Betaproteobacteria; Burkholderiales; Sutterellaceae.